Long non-coding RNA from Ictalurus punctatus (channel catfish), 627 nucleotides. The record is from Ensembl. Lineage: Eukaryota; Metazoa; Chordata; Actinopteri; Siluriformes; Ictaluridae.
CCACUGUGACGUCACAGAAGAAGCAACCUAUAACGAUGGUGUAAAAUUCCAGAGCUUCAGCUAUUUACUAUUUUUGAGCUGUGUGAUGGAUACACAGACUAACUUUGUCGAAGAAAUUGUUAGUGAAUCGGUGGAAAAUCUACCACUGCGCCCCACGCGGCAUGCGGCAGGAACUGCAGGGGCCGGAGCUGGUGUUUCCACACGUGAUGAUGGAGAGAGACCCGAAAACACCCCGCACACAUCUCUCACCCAAGAGAUCAACUUUACUCAUCCCGAUAUAUAAACCUGCACUGUACAAAAAAAACCUUGUGUAAGCACUGAGUUACAUCUCUAUACACACAGUUUCCGUUUGUCAACUUUAACCACACAGUUUAGUUUUGUCAUCUCCGUUUCUGUUGCGCGUAUAGACGACCAAACGUUGUUAUCCAGUUAUGCUAUUAAAAAAAGAAAGAAAACAAGUGUAUGUUCGCGAAUAACAUCACGAAGAACACUUUUCUGUUAGUCGACGUUAACCGCCGUUAAGACAUCAUGUUAUUCAACAUGAUAUCCACGAGAGCAGAGUGUUGCAGGUGCCAAUAUUAUUGGAGGGCACUGUAAUUAAUGUCUGUCAUUUAAUGUAAUAAUAAC